Long non-coding RNA from Branchiostoma belcheri (Belcher's lancelet), 414 nucleotides. RefSeq lists it as uncharacterized. The transcript has 3 exons. NCBI's taxonomy places the organism in Eukaryota, Metazoa, Chordata, Leptocardii, Amphioxiformes, Branchiostomatidae. The record is from RefSeq and is a predicted model, not a curated record.
AGAGCAGGAGAGAGACCACGGACAGGUACACGGUGAUCCUCUGUCCGCCAAACCGCUUCCUCAGAGAUGUAGACUGGAACGAAGAUCCACCCUAACAUCACCAUGAUGAAGAUAGCCUGCAAAACGCCAGAAAGUAGCCCUUGGCACUGCCACGGUUGGCCCUCCAUGCGGACUGAAGGGAAGAAGAACAGAUCCGUUACUCGUUUGUCUUGAAAAGCUGUGAUUGAGCCAACAGGCUGUGUACUUCAUCAAGAGGAGGACUGAUCUGUUUCGACAGCCCCUCAGAAACAGCUUACUCUAACAGGCUACCUAGUAGGUACAUCUGCAACAUGUCUUAGAAUUCACCUUGACCUCUACAUACCGGGGCGCUGGAAGGUCCUGAUUUUAACAGACCUGUCCUUGUGAGUACUAGUA